Molecule: ribosomal RNA, 603 nt
Filed under: Triticum aestivum (bread wheat)
Lineage: Eukaryota; Viridiplantae; Streptophyta; Magnoliopsida; Poales; Poaceae
Description: partial small subunit ribosomal RNA
Source: RNAcentral
AUGCUCUUGCUGCCUCUUCGUCUGUGUCCUUCCAGCAAUGGUAUGGUCUGUAGACUUCGCCGCUCCCUCUAUGGUCUUAAACAGGCCCCUCGUGCCUGGUUUGAGCGCUUCGCCUCUGCGGUGAUUGUCGCUGGUUUCUUGCCCAGUGAUCAUGAUCCCGCAUUGUUUGUCCGCACGUCUCCUCGUGGUCGGACUCUUCUCCUUCUCUAUGUUGAUGACAUGAUCAUCACUGGUGACGACUCUAACUACAUUGCCUUUGUUAAGGCUCGCCUUCGCGACCAGUUCCUCAUGACUGAUCUUGGUCCACUUCGCUAUUUUCUUGGGAUUGAGAUCUCCUCAACCUCUGAUGGCUUCUACAUCUCCCAAGAAAAAUAUAUUCAGGAUCUUCUUGCUCGCGCUGCUCUCGAUGAUGAGCGCACUGUUGUGACUCCUAUGGAGCUCAACAUUCAGCUUCGUGCCUCUGAUGGUGACCCCCUUCCUAAUCCCACUCACUAUCGUCACCUUGUUGGCAGUCUUGUCUAUCUCGCUGUUACGCGUCCUGACAUCUCCUAUCCUGUCCACAUCCUGAGUCAGUUUGUUUCAGACCCCACCUCUGUCCACUAG